This 468-nucleotide ribosomal RNA is filed under the name uncultured bacterium. Its description in RNAcentral is "partial 16S ribosomal RNA". It matches the Rfam family "Bacterial small subunit ribosomal RNA", at positions 28 to 507 of the family's 1533-position model. The record is from RNAcentral.
GACGAACGCUGGCGGCGUGCUUAACACAUGCAAGUCGAACGGAAAGGCCCUGCUUUUGUGGGGUGCUCGAGUGGCGAACGGGUGAGUAACACGUGAGUAACCUGCCCUUGACUUUGGGAUAACUUCAGGAAACUGGGGCUAAUACCGGAUAGGAGCUCCUGCUGCAUGGUGGGGGUUGGAAAGUUUCGGCGGUUGGGGAUGGACUCGCGGCUUAUCAGCUUGUUGGUGGGGUAGUGGCUUACCAAGGCUUUGACGGGUAGCCGGCCUGAGAGGGUGACCGGCCACAUUGGGACUGAGAUGCGGCCCAGACUCCUACGGGAGGCAGCAGUGGGGAAUAUUGCACAAUGGGCGGAAGCCUGAUGCAGCAACGCCGCGUGCGGGAUGACGGCCUUCGGGUUGUAAACCGCUUUCGCCUGUGACGAAGCGUGAGGGACGGUAAUGGGUAAAGAAGCACCGGCUAACUACGUG